RNAcentral lists this ribosomal RNA (254 nucleotides) under uncultured bacterium. RNAcentral's name for it is "partial 16S ribosomal RNA". It matches the Rfam family "Bacterial small subunit ribosomal RNA", at positions 524 to 776 of the family's 1533-position model. The record is from RNAcentral.
UACGUAGGGGGCAAGCGUUGUCCGGAUUUAUUGGGCGUAAAGAGCUCGUAGGCGGCUCAGCUAGUCGGAUGUGAAAACUCCAGGCUCAACCUGGAGACGCCAUUCGAUACUGCUGUGGCUAGAGUCCGGUAGGGGAGCACGGAAUUCCUGGUGUAGCGGUGAAAUGCGCAGAUAUCAGGAGGAACACCGGUGGCGAAGGCGGUGCUCUGGGCCGGUACUGACGCUGAGGAGCGAAAGCGUGGGUAGCAAACAGG